RNAcentral lists this ribosomal RNA (433 nucleotides) under uncultured bacterium. RNAcentral's name for it is "partial 16S ribosomal RNA". It matches the Rfam family "Bacterial small subunit ribosomal RNA", at positions 29 to 507 of the family's 1533-position model. The record is from RNAcentral.
AGUGAACGCUGGCGGCAGGCCUAACACAUGCAAGUCGAACGAACUCUUCGGAGCUAGUGGCGGACGGGUGAGUAACGCGUGGGAACGUGCCUUUAUCUUCGGAAUAGUCCUGGGAAACUUGGGGUAAUACCGGAUAUGCCCUUCGGGGGAAAGAUUUAUCGUGUUAGGAGCGGCCCGCGUUUGAUUAGCUAGUUGGUGAGGUAAAGGCCCACCAAGGCGACGAUCAGUAGCUGGUUUGAGAGGAUGAGCAGCCACACUGGGACUGAGACACGGCCCAGACUCCUACGGGAGGCAGCAGUGGGGAAUCUUGCGCAAUGGGGGGAAGCCUGACGCAGCCAUGCCGCGUGAAUGAUGAAGGUCUUAGGGUUGUAAAACUCUUUCAGCUGGGACGAUAAUGACGGUACCCGGAGAAGAAGCCCCGGCUAACUUCGUG